This 412-nucleotide ribosomal RNA is filed under the name uncultured bacterium. RNAcentral's name for it is "bacterial SSU rRNA". It matches the Rfam family "Bacterial small subunit ribosomal RNA", at positions 505 to 916 of the family's 1533-position model. The record is from RNAcentral.
GUGUCAGCCGCCGCGGUAAUACGGAGGGUGCAAGCGUUAAUCGGAACUACUGGGCGUAAAGCGCACGCAGGCGGUCUGUCAAGUCGGAUGUGAAAUCCCCGGGCUCAACCUGGGAACUGCAUUCGAAACUGGCAGGCUAGAGUCUUGUAGAGGGGGGUAGAAUUCCAGGUGUAGCGGUGAAAUGCGUAGAGAUCUGGAGGAAUACCGGUGGCGAAGGCGGCCCCCUGGACAAAGACUGACGCUCAGGUGCGAAAGCGUGGGGAGCAAACAGGAUUAGAUACCCUGGUAGUCCACGCCGUAAACGAUGUCGAUUUGGAGGUUGUGCCCUUGAGGCGUGGCUUCCGGAGCUAACGCGUUAAAUCGACCGCCUGGGGAGUACGGCCGCAAGGUUAAAACUCAAAUGAAUUGGCGG